ACGCGGGGUGGAGCAGUUUGGUAGCUCGUCGGGCUCAUAACCCGAAGGUCGUUGGUUCAAAUCCAGCCCCCGCU
RNAcentral lists this transfer RNA (74 nucleotides) under Desulfotalea psychrophila LSv54. Its description in RNAcentral is "Predicted Met trna". It matches the Rfam family "tRNA". Rfam says of the family: Transfer RNA (tRNA) molecules are approximately 80 nucleotides in length. Their secondary structure includes four short double-helical elements and three loops (D, anti-codon, and T loops). Further hydrogen bonds mediate the characteristic L-shaped molecular structure. tRNAs have two regions of fundamental functional importance: the anti-codon, which is responsible for specific mRNA codon recognition, and the 3' end, to which the tRNAs corresponding amino acid is attached (by aminoacyl-tRNA synthetases). tRNAs cope with the degeneracy of the genetic code in two manners: having more than one tRNA (with a specific anti-codon) for a particular amino acid; and 'wobble' base-pairing, i.e. permitting non-standard base-pairing at the 3rd anti-codon position. Lineage: Bacteria; Pseudomonadati; Thermodesulfobacteriota; Desulfobulbia; Desulfobulbales; Desulfocapsaceae. The record is from RNAcentral.